GACGACGCUGGCGGCGUGCCUAACACAUGCAAGUCGAACGGGAUCCAUGGAGUGCUUGCACUCCGGAAGAUCUAGUGGCGAACGGGUGAGUAACACGUGAGAAACCUGCCCCAGACUCUGGGAUAACCUCGGGAAACCGAAGCUAAUACCGGAUAUUCUCCUUUGGUCGCAUGGCCAGUUGAGGAAAGUUUUUCGGUCUGGGAGGGUCUCGCGGCCUAUCAGCUAGUUGGUGGGGUAACGGCCCACCAAGGCUACGACGGGUAGCUGGUUUGAGAGAACGAUCAGCCACACUGGAACUGAGACACGGUCCAGACUCCUACGGGAGGCAGCAGUGGGGAAUCUUGCGCAAUGGGCGAAAGCCUGACGCAGCAACGCCGCGUGCGGGAUGAAGGCCUUCGGGUUGUAAACCGCUUUCAGCAGGGACGAAAAUGACGGUACCUGCAGAAGAAGCCCCGGCUAACUACGUG
This 467-nucleotide ribosomal RNA is filed under the name uncultured bacterium. RNAcentral describes it as "bacterial SSU rRNA". It matches the Rfam family "Bacterial small subunit ribosomal RNA", at positions 33 to 507 of the family's 1533-position model. The record is from RNAcentral.